UACGUAGGUGGCGAGCGUUGUCCGGAUUUACUGGGCGUAAAGAGCGCGCAGGCGGUCCCUUAAGUCUGAUGUGAAAGCCCACGGCUCAACCGUGGAGGGUCAUUGGAAACUGGGGGACUUGAGUACGGAAGAGGAAAGCGGAAUUCCACGUGUAGCGGUGAAAUGCGCAGAUAUCAGGAGGAACACCGGUGGCGAAGGCGGGUCUCUGGGCCGAUACUGACGCUGAGGAGCGAAAGCGUGGGGAGCGAACAGG
Molecule: ribosomal RNA, 253 nt
Filed under: uncultured bacterium
Lineage: Bacteria
Description: partial 16S ribosomal RNA
Rfam family: Bacterial small subunit ribosomal RNA
Source: RNAcentral